Molecule: microRNA precursor, 80 nt
Filed under: Pelobates cultripes (western spadefoot toad)
Lineage: Eukaryota; Metazoa; Chordata; Amphibia; Anura; Pelobatidae
Source: RNAcentral
UGUGUGUGUGUGUGUGUGUGUGUAUAUGUAUAUAUACACAUAUAUACACACAUAUAUACACACACACACACACACACACA